UGGGGGAUAUUGCGCAAUGGGGGAAACCCUGACGCAGCAACGCCGCGUGAAGGAUGAAGGUCUUCGGAUUGUAAACUUCUUUUAUCAGGGACGAUAAUGACGGUACCUGAUGAAUAAGCUCCGGCUAACUACGUGCCAGCAGCCGCGGUAAUACGUAGGGAGCAAGCGUUAUCCGGAUUUACUGGGUGUAAAGGGCGUGUAGGCGGGACUGCAAGUCAGAUGUGAAAACUAUGGGCUUAACCCAUAGCCUGCAUUUGAAACUGUAGUUCUUGAGUGGUGGAGAGGCAAAUGGAAUUCCUAGUGUAGCGGUGAAAUGCGUAGAUAUUAGGAAGAACACCAGUGGCGAAGGCGAUUUGCUGGACACUAACUGACGCUGAGGCGCGAAAGCGUGGGGAGCAAACAGGAUUAGAUACCCUGGUAGUCCACGCCGUAAACGAUGGAUACUAGGUGUGGGGGGUCUGACCCCCUCCGUGCCGCAGUUAACACAAUAAGUAUCCCACCUGGGGAGUACGAUCGCAAGGUUGAAACUCAAAGGAAUUGACGGGGGCCCGCACAAGCGGUGGAGUAUGUGGUUUAAUUCGAAGCAACGCGAAGAACCUUACCAGGUCUUGACAUCCCGAUGACCGGUGUAGAGAUACACCUUCUCUUCGGAGCAUCGGUGACAGGUGGUGCAUGGUUGUCGUCAGCUCGUGUCGUGAGAUGUUGGGUUAAGUCCCGCAACGAGCGCAACCCUUGUUGCUAGUUGCUACGCAAGAGCACUCUAGCGAUACUGCCGUUGACAAAACGGAGGAAGGUGGGGACGACGUCAAAUCAUCAUGCCCCUUAUGACCUGGGCCACACACGUACUACAAUGGCGGUUAACAGAGGGAAGCAAUACCGCGAGGUGGAGCAAAUCCCUAAAAGCCGUCCCAGUUCGGAUUGCAGGCUGCAACCCGCCUGCAUGAAGUCGGAAUCGCUAGUAAUCGCGGAUCAGCAUGCCGCGGUGAAUACGUUCCC
RNAcentral lists this ribosomal RNA (996 nucleotides) under uncultured bacterium. Its description in RNAcentral is "bacterial SSU rRNA". It matches the Rfam family "Bacterial small subunit ribosomal RNA", at positions 355 to 1375 of the family's 1533-position model. The record is from RNAcentral.